Molecule: ribosomal RNA, 305 nt
Filed under: uncultured bacterium
Lineage: Bacteria
Description: bacterial SSU rRNA
Rfam family: Bacterial small subunit ribosomal RNA
Source: RNAcentral
GAUGAACGCUAGCGGUGCGCCUAACACAUGCAAGUCGAGCGCCCUCACUUAGUCUUUGAUUCGUUCAAAGGUUGGGUGAGGGAGCGGCGAACGGGUGAGUAACACGUUGGAACCUGCCUCGGACUCAGGGAUAGCCCACCGAAAGGUGGAUUAAUACCGGAUAGUCCCGGAAGGGUAAAGAUUUUUCGGUUCGAGAGGGGCCUGCGGCCUAUCAGCUUGUUGGUAAGGUAAGAGCUUACCAAGGCUAUGACGGGUAUCUGGUGUGAGAGCAUGACCAGACAUAAUGGAACUGAGACACGGUCCAU